Gadus macrocephalus (Pacific cod) is the source of this 459-nucleotide long non-coding RNA. RefSeq lists it as uncharacterized. Lineage: Eukaryota; Metazoa; Chordata; Actinopteri; Gadiformes; Gadidae. The transcript has 3 exons. The record is from RefSeq and is a predicted model, not a curated record.
GAUUACCAUCAUCGUCAAGGGUGGUGAACCUCCAGCCCUCCUUUCUCCUCUGGUAGUGGACUACCUUCUGACAGGACGCAUCUUUCAGUUGAAGGUCACUCCAGAUGAUGUAGCUGACAUGGUACUGAGAGAAGCCCGGAAGAAGGUUGAUCAAGCAUUAACCACAGAUGAUCUGGAGCAAGCAGUGGAAUGCUGUGACUCAUGGAGAUACCUAACUCGAAGGUCUUCCGAACCCAGUCAGCAUGGUCAACAAAGAUGCAUUUGUGCAGAAUGCAAUACUUUUCCAUGUCCUCAUUCAACGACAGAGCUGCUAUGAUCAGUUAGUUGAUGGUUUGAAGUACUACGAGGUUCUGCCACUCCUGAAAGAAAGGCCUUGCCUCUGGGUCCUUCUUGAUAUCCCAAAAGAACCCAGUGAUGUCAAAGUAGAUGUUGUGGCUACCCUCCUGAAACCCAACUACU